AUUGCUUCUCGGCCUUUUAGCUAAGAUCAAGUAUACUAUUUGUUCUUAUCAGUUUAAUAUCUAAUACAUCCUCCAUAAGAGGACAAUGUGUUAAAUGGAUUUUUGGAGCAGGAGAUGGAAUAAGAGCUUGCUCCACCCACUCCACACAUUGACCUGGUAUUGUAGUACUUCCUGGAAUGGUGCACCCCAC
Molecule: small nuclear RNA, 190 nt
Organism: Vulpes vulpes (red fox)
Lineage: Eukaryota; Metazoa; Chordata; Mammalia; Carnivora; Canidae
Gene: U2
Rfam family: U2 spliceosomal RNA
About the family: U2 is a small nuclear RNA (snRNA) component of the spliceosome (involved in pre-mRNA splicing). Complementary binding between U2 snRNA (in an area lying towards the 5' end but 3' to hairpin I) and the branchpoint sequence (BPS) of the intron results the bulging out of an unpaired adenosine, on the BPS, which initiates a nucleophilic attack at the intronic 5' splice site, thus starting the first of two transesterification reactions that mediate splicing.
Source: Ensembl